RNAcentral lists this long non-coding RNA (1552 nucleotides) under Homo sapiens (human). Its description in RNAcentral is "non-protein coding lnc-R3HCC1L-8:4". The record is from RNAcentral. Lineage: Eukaryota; Metazoa; Chordata; Mammalia; Primates; Hominidae.
GCAGACAGAUCCUUCAGCCUCAGGAAAGCUUCUUGAUGACGCGGUCCUGGCUGACAACCGGACUGCAACCUCAUGAGAUACCCUGAGCCAGAACCACCAGCUAAGCCACUUCUCAAGUCCUGACUCACAGUGCUGCAAGAUAAUAAACGUUUUGGAGUCAUUCGUAACACAGCAAGUGAUAAUGAAGAUACGUGGGUUGAGUGGGGCUUUGCCUAAUAUGCCCUAGUGCCUCCUGAAAGUGAAUGAGGCCAGCUGGGAUGACUAGGCACUGCUCAGAGAGCUGGGGUAAGGCCACCGUGUGGUUUCCUAAAAGGAGUGAAAGUAGAGAGAGCCUGAGAUGAGCAUCUUCCGGAGGGAGGGACUAUGUCGCCUGGGAGAGAGUCACACACACCUGGUUUCUGGGGCUCUGGGCCCCAGAGGCAGGUGUCGUCUAGGGAUAAAGAACGAGAGGUAAUGUCCAGAGGAGGAGGUCCCUUCUCUGACAGCCUGGGGUCGGAGGAGGCAAAGCUUUUGUUAAGAGGCAGUUCCCUGGCUUGAUCAGAAGAGGAAUGUCAGCCAGCUUCUGAGGACUGCAAUACCAGAGCUUCUGAGGCAAACUGGGACAUAGAAGAUUGAAGAAGGCGCCAGAGGCACAGAGACACAUUACUGGAGCCUUGGAGAUGGUGGUCAUGGAAGCCAUUAAUAAAACAUGGAACUUUCUGGAACAUUGGGUUUCUGGCUGUUCCUUUGUUUGCCCGUGGUGGCCAGCAUGUUUGCAGUUGGGAGGAUUCUUCACCAGUCUAACACAUGCCUCAGUUUUCUAGGUGAGAAACCCAGACAAGGCUGGCACUGCACAGAGAUGGAACCUGAUGAAACGGCCCCAUUUGAGCGCCUGCUGUAUCGCGUUGGCUCUGCUUCCUGCAGCUGUGCUCCAAGAUGAGCCUUUCAGACAUCGCUCCCUAAUAGCUCCAUCUCCCCCAGUCCAGGAGGAUGCGCAUUCCUCUCCUCAUUCACAUGCACCACUUCAAGCCAUCUGCACGCUCUACAGGGGACUUGCCGCCUAACAUCCUAAUGUGCAACCCCAUCCAAAUCCUCUGCUGGAAUCUCACUAUUUGCACCACUUACGCUCCUGGAGCGUGAAACAGAAGGGCCAGUCCUCUUGUCUCUUUAUUCUAAGUGUUUAAUACAGAUUCCAUGGACUUGGUCCAUAACAAUAUGAGUGUGGUCUUACAUCAGUCCUUUUACUAAUUUCUCAUCAUCUCCCUCAUCCUUGUCCUUUAGUGAUUGUUCCAGACCUUCUCUUCUUAUCCUCAUACUCUCCUCUUUGGUAUAGUAGUGAGUAAAAGAAAGAAAGAAAAAAAAGGUCCUAGUGUGACUCAUAUCUUCAUGGUUUAUUUACUACCUGGAGGAUUUUUGAGGCUAUGAACAUUGUUUUAUUUUUUGCUGUAUCCCCAGCACCUAGCACAGAUAUGUGUGUGUAUCAGGGCCUGUAUGUAUAAGCUCUCCGAUGCUGCUAUAACAUGUAGUUCCCCAGUCAAAACUAAGUAUUAUUAAAGCAGCAUUUUGGACAGGG